This 259-nucleotide ribosomal RNA is filed under the name Streptococcus agalactiae CCUG 37736. RNAcentral describes it as "partial 16S ribosomal RNA". It matches the Rfam family "Bacterial small subunit ribosomal RNA", at positions 1 to 250 of the family's 1533-position model. The record is from RNAcentral. Lineage: Bacteria; Bacillati; Bacillota; Bacilli; Lactobacillales; Streptococcaceae.
UUUAAUGAGAGUUUGAUCCUGGCUCAGGACGAACGCUGGCGGCGUGCCUAAUACAUGCAAGUAGAACGCUGAGGUUUGGUGUUUACACUAGACUGAUGAGUUGCGAACGGGUGAGUAACGCGUAGGUAACCUGCCUCAUAGCGGGGGAUAACUAUUGGAAACGAUAGCUAAUACCGCAUAAGAGUAAUUAACACAUGUUAGUUAUUUAAAAGGAGCAAUUGCUUCACUGUGAGAUGGACCUGCGUUGUAUUAGCUAGUU